Molecule: long non-coding RNA, 1449 nt
Organism: Melospiza melodia melodia
Lineage: Eukaryota; Metazoa; Chordata; Aves; Passeriformes; Passerellidae
Exons: 2
Source: RefSeq, a predicted model, not a curated record
AGCCCCCGAGCUGCAGCCGUCUCCCUCGGGCUGCUGCCGGUGCUGCGGGCGGAGGCGGCUCCGCCGCGUGUUGGGCGCUGCGAGCAGGGAGCGCUGCGGUAUCGCCGGCAUGGCGGGGCUGCUGCCUGCGUUAGUGCCCGUGGCUCUUUGUGCCGUGACAGCGGAUGGAGCGGCGCUGGGCGGUAAAGCCAGAGAUGGCCGGGAGAAUGCCCAGCGCAGGGAGCGGGCGGGCUGUGUGCUUCGGAUGGCACAGGGUACUCACAAAAUAUGUCUCCCUUAGUGUCCCACAGAAACAUUCUGGGUGCAAUCUGAAUUAAGGUAUGUGUUUUCAAAUAAGUAAUCAGUUUAGAUAUUUGCCUGUGUACCUUUUCCUGUAAUUCAGAGCUUGUGUUCUGUGGGUUUUAUGAUAAACCUGUAAAACAUGUAAGAAUGGUUUUGCAAGUCUGAAUCGUUGAAGGCAGCAAUAAGUGGAUUUAAAGCCUGUUCUUGAGCAGACAAAGGGGAAAAGUGUGACUCUGAUGCUGAACUUGUCAUUUUUCAUUUGACUUGCCUUUAAUUAUUGAAGAAGAGAGAGAACUAGGAAAAGAAAUAGAAUUGAUUAUUGAGCACUCCUAAAAAGCUCACCAUGAUUCUGUGUAGAGCCAAAGUGAAGGAUGAUGGAACAGAGCUCUGUGCAUUAGAAGGAAAUAAACCUGAUGUCCACACAGAGUCUUACUAAUUUCUGUUUUUAAAAUGCAAAAUAAGUUUAGGAAGUGUUGGAAGUUAGUAUUUUGGGAAAGAAAUGGCAGUUCCACAAAACAUUCCAUUCCAUUUAAGAGAGGCCCUUGGACUGAUUCAUGUUGUAACUGCUGUCACUGCAAUCAGUUGGUGGUUCAGCCUUGAAACGUGCACUUGGCCUUCUAUAAAGCACUGUUUUGUUUGCCUUUCAGUGCUAUGAGUCUUGAUAAAUUGGAGAAGUGCCCAAGAGAAAUUCAUCAUCCUGAGAUACAAAAGGUAGGAAGUGACUUUUUCUGGUUUGGUUCUUUUUCUUUAUUGUUUUCUGGAAAUAGAAGUAAUUAAGUAUAGAUACUACUGGUUUGUUUCUUCCAGUAGCUGAUAAUACUAAUACCAAUAAUAAUAAUAAUAAUAAUAGUAAAGUAAUACUACUUCAACUGUCUUUAUUUAUCCAUUGAACUGGCCAUUUAAAAUCUAAACUUCUAAACACAAAUCAAACCAUCAUCCUUGUAGAAUCUUUAAUAGGAGUGGGCUAAAGAUCCUGGUUUUGUUGACAGGAUUUAUUGGUUCAUGAAGAGCAAGAGGUAAGUACAAGCCUAACUACCCUCUAGCUCACAGACCUGCCCGGUGAAUAGAGCUUUGUUUUUUUGAUGGGCUUGUGAUGACUUUGAGAUCAAUUGCUCAUUCAUUACAGUAAAAAAAAAAAAAUUGUUUUGAACAUGACAGCAAAAAUAA